AAUCAACGCUGGCGGCGUGCCUCAGACAUGCAAGUCGAACGCGAAAGCCCCCUUCGGGGGGCAAGUAGAGUGGCGCACGGGUGAGUAACACGUAGGUAAUCUACCUUUGGAUGGGGAAUAACCACCGGAAACGGUGGCUAAUACCGCAUAAUGCAGCGGCACCUAAUGGUGACAGUUGUUAAAGCGGGGGAUCGUAAGACCUCGCGUCUGAAGAGGAGCCUGCGGCAGAUUAGCUAGUUGGUAAGGUAACGGCUUACCAAGGCGAUGAUCUGUAGCCGGCCUGAGAGGGCGGUCGGCCACACUGACACUGACAUACGGGUCAGACUCCUACGGGAGGCAGCAGUCGGGAAUUUUGGGCAAUGGGCGAAAGCCUGACCCAGCAACGCCGCGUGAAGGAUGAAAUCCCUCGGGAUGUAAACUUCGCAAGAUCAGGAAGAAUAAGUAAGAGCUAACAUCUCUUAUGAUGACGGUACUGUUUGUAAGCUCCGGCUAACUCCGUGC
Molecule: ribosomal RNA, 501 nt
Filed under: uncultured bacterium
Lineage: Bacteria
Description: bacterial SSU rRNA
Rfam family: Bacterial small subunit ribosomal RNA
Source: RNAcentral